AUGGAAUCAUUGACAAUCUCUUCAAAGACUCUUGAGAUUCUCGACUUAGUUCCGGAUUCAUGGAAGAUUGAUUUCCCUUAUUUACUUAACAUCAAGUUAUUGAAAAUAGAAACGCAUACUCUUUCAUCAAUACCUAAUGGAAUAGGUGACUUUUUGCUUCAAAACUCACCAUCUGCAAAGAAAGUCAUCGUAGAAUUGUCAGAAGAAACACAAAUUAGAAGAAUGAUUGAUGCGUUGGGUUUUCCAAGAGAUCAUAAUAAGCGUGGAUGCAGUGAUCACCACAAUUAA
This is a non-coding RNA of Vicia faba (fava bean), 288 nucleotides long. The record is from the annotation of a GenBank genome assembly. Lineage: Eukaryota; Viridiplantae; Streptophyta; Magnoliopsida; Fabales; Fabaceae.